UUGUGGGCGCCGCUGUCUAAU
RNAcentral lists this non-coding RNA (21 nucleotides) under Arabidopsis thaliana (thale cress). Lineage: Eukaryota; Viridiplantae; Streptophyta; Magnoliopsida; Brassicales; Brassicaceae. The record is from RNAcentral.